This 266-nucleotide ribosomal RNA is filed under the name uncultured bacterium. RNAcentral's name for it is "partial 16S ribosomal RNA". It matches the Rfam family "Bacterial small subunit ribosomal RNA", at positions 793 to 1055 of the family's 1533-position model. The record is from RNAcentral.
GUCCACGCCGUAAACGAUGUUCACUAGGUGUUGGGGGUAUUGACCCCCUCAGUGCCGGAGCUAACGCAUUAAGUGAACCGCCUGGGGAGUACGGUCGCAAGACUAAAACUCAAAGGAAUUGACGGGGGCCCGCACAAGCGGUGGAGCAUGUGGUUUAAUUCGAUGCAACGCGAAGAACCUUACCUGGGCUUGACAUCCCGGGAAUCCCCUGGAAACAGGGGAGUGCCCUUCGGGGAACCCGGAGACAGGUGCUGCAUGGCUGUCGU